UGGAACAGAGCGGUGGCCGAAUAAAAAACCGAUCAAUAUCCUCAUCCAAAGAUGGAAACGCUAUUGCAUCAACGUCAAUGUUCUCAUCAGCCUCUGUUGUUUGAUGACCGAAAGUUGGAAAACUCAUUGCAUCCGCCAUAUCCAUGUUCACAUUAACGUUGUCCUCCUCCAUCUCUGUUGUUUGAAGACGAUCUACCACAGUUGGCACAUCAGACAUCUCAACUGCUCCGAUGGCAUCCAACAAAUUACUUGAGUUUGCAUCCAUAACACCGAAGACGACCUGCGAAUGAUCAAAAGGUGGUCUUGGGUUCAAGAUAAGGGUGGUCUGCGUGAUUGGAUAAGUUAUUUCUCGCAUAGCGUCCCUUUUAGCUCGGAGAACCUGGAGAAAAGUUAAAACUAAUUAUCAAGAAUUUAAUUUAUAAUUAGUUACUAAGCUGUGGUGUAUAUGUAAACACUUACAUAUGACCUGCGCCAAUCAUCUUUAAACAGAAAAAGGGAAUCCCCCACUCCUAGGUUAUGUAUCUCAAUUAAGCUCCCUGAAAAAUGAUAGUUAAUUAAUCAGAACAUAAUUCUGCAAAGGAUCUAUUAGUGUAGUGGUUUAGAGCGAUCGAUCUCUCAGAAAAGGUUUAAGUUCGAAUUCUAGCAUUCGUGUAGUGUGUGUGAGUUUAAUACAUUAUCGCCUCUCUUAAUAGGAAAAAAAUCAGAACAUAAUUCUUAAAUUUAAAGACGUGAAAUGAUGCAGUUAAGUUGGAGAUUGGGCUCACUCGUAUUAUCAAGUAAGUACAUUCGGCUGGUGUUGUUGGCCCAAUACCUGUGAAAAAGAUCACAUAUUAUAUAUAGUUUGUUAUUUAAAUCAAAGCAAAAAAAAGAAAAAAAAAAGGACUUGGCUUAAUGGGAACCUGAACUUGAAAGUCCAAACAUGCAUAAAGUCCAUGUCGUCCAAAUGCAUCCAGAGUCCAU
RNAcentral lists this long non-coding RNA (960 nucleotides) under Prunus persica (peach). RNAcentral describes it as "long non-coding RNA (PPER_LNC001119)". The record is from RNAcentral. Lineage: Eukaryota; Viridiplantae; Streptophyta; Magnoliopsida; Rosales; Rosaceae.